This 11623-nucleotide long non-coding RNA is filed under the name Ananas comosus (pineapple). RNAcentral's name for it is "long non-coding RNA (ACOM_LNC021839)". The record is from RNAcentral. Lineage: Eukaryota; Viridiplantae; Streptophyta; Magnoliopsida; Poales; Bromeliaceae.
AGAAGAAGGGUAGGAUCGUAAAUUUACCUUAUACUUAACCAUGGUUAAGUACUUUAACCGUGGUUAAUGAAAAUUUUCUAACAGUCCUUAACGGCAGGGACAUAUCUGCAUAACUUUAGACUUUUGCAGGGAUAACUUAUGGAGUUUCCGUUUUGCAGGGAUAUUUCCGCAAUUGACUAUGUUUGCAAGGACCUGUAUGCAUUUAACCCUUUAAAGUAUAUCAAGUUAGUAUCAUAUGGUUUUGCACUUUUUUACUUUAGUACCCUGUGGUUUAAAGUGUAUUAAAUUAGUAUCCUAUGGUUUCGCACUUUCUUAUUUUAGUACCCUGUGGUUUCGCACUUUCUCACUUUAGUACCCUAUGGUUUAAAAAUCACAGGGUACUAACUUGAUACAAAAAUAAAACUACAGAGUACUAACUUGAUACAAAAAUAAAGCACAGAGUACUAACUUGAUACACUUUAAACCAUAGGGUACUAAAGUGAGAAAGUGCGAAACCACAGGGUACUAACUUGAUACACUUUAAGCCACAGGAAUAGUAAAUGAAAAAGUACAAAAUUACAGGGGGUUUUUUGAAGUUUUCCCUUAAAAAAAAACAAUAUUAAUGAGUAUGAGUUUUCAUAUCAGUGUCUGCAGAAGAGGGAAAGGCCCAUGGACAACAUUUAUUGAGCAGUUUAAUGGCACAUGCAAAAAGCCCAUCUCUAACUUCAAUUGAGAUCUCCCUUUGCAUGAUGUUGCGUCACGUGUAGUGAGACAGUGCGAUGAAAUAUACUCUAUUUAUUUUCGUACGUGCUCGCACAGAAAAACAUUUUUUCACCUGCAACCUACAUCAUAUUGGAGCCAUUUAGAUUUUUCUUUUCGGAGGUUAAAUUACAGAAAGCUCUCUUAUAAAUAUUCGUUUUUUCACUUUUCUUCCUAAUUUUUAAAAAUCUAUAUUCUAUCCACUCAAUAUUUCAAGUUAUUAUAUUUAACCUCCCUUGUCAGAAACUCAGGAUUUCAUUAUCAUUCCGUCCAUGUUUUAUAAUUUAUACUGAAAAUACAUUUCAAAAUAAUAAAAACAUAUUAAAAAAAUUUAUUUUUUUAUAAAAAAAGGAUAAUUUGAUCAUUUUCGCCUCUCCAUUAAUAACGUACUUUUCUGAAAAUAUUUCUAAAAUUUUAAAAAACAAAUAUAAAUUUUAAAAAAUUAGAGACAAAAAGUGAAAGAAAAUAGAUAUUUACUGAAACAUUUUUUAUAAUUUAGCCCCCCCCUUUUUUUUUUAAAGUGCUACUAACUGUUUUAAUGCUUGCAAAUAAUUCUUUUCGAAAACUAUUCAUUCAGAAAACUUCUGAUCGUUGUACAGUUGGCGUGAUAGGAUUUGGGGGAGUUUCAGGAACAUUUAUGGAAUCAAUAUUAAGAAUUGGGGUGUACAGUACAUGAGUAAAUAGUCACAAGGCACCUCAAAAUAUGACUUCAAAACUAAAUUCAUUCAAAUUGGAUUUGAAACGGGACUUAAACGAGACUAAACCAACUAAAAUUUCAAUAGUUUGAUUAGUUAUUAGGUUAUCUUAAAGUUGACCGACAUAGCAUAAAUUAUUAUUCUUAACAUCCAACAUUUCACAUUGGUUGAAACAAAAACCUAUCUACCUCCCAACACACUCUGGAAUAAAAGAUUUAGGGAUAACUUCAAACACACCCCCCCCCCCCAUGUAGUUUAAAGCAUAUCAAUUUACCCCCGUGGUUUCAUUUUUCUUUUUUUAUUAUCAAUUUUAUUAUCAAUUUUUCUUAAAUCAAUGACAAAAUUAAAAUUAAAAAAUACUAAAGUAAAAAUUCAAUAAAACUAUAUAGAUAUCUGAAGUUUUUUAUAUAUAAUUUAACGAAAUAUUAAAAAAAAAGCUACCGAAAAAAUAAAAACAAAACCACAGGAGAGCAAAUUAAUACACUUUAAACCACAGGGUACUAAAAUGAGAAAGUGCAAAACCACAUGGGUUUUUUUUUGAAGUAUUCCCAAAGAUUUAAACAACAGGCAGCAGAAGCAGAACCAUGGCCAAAGGGGUACACUUUGAAGAUGAUACAAACGAUUCCUUACCAUUUGCCCACCCUUUUAUAAGGGAAAAAAGAGAGGGCAAUAGACAGAUUUACCGAUCAAAACAAUGCGCAAAACAUUCCACAGAAAUCAGAUAUGUUCAUAUACCAGGAAACCGAGUUAAAACAACUGAGUUCGCACUGAUUACCGACGAUCAAAGAUAAGAUCCAAGGUUUAAAAGUUUAACACAUGAAGAUCGAUAUGUGAAAAAGAGUGUCAAACAGUUCCGUCGAUGGAAGCAGCGGCCCAACAAUACAACUCUUAGCAGUUAGGAGUUUUCUACAGGAAUAUGUCUCAAAUACAAGUUGCUACUAAUUAGCUUCUAGUUCUCUUAGAGAAGCUACAUGAUAACAGAGAAAGUAAGUACUUACCAAGGGAACGGCAUUCUCUAUAUUACCUUGAAACCCCAUUUAGGCACCCUGAAAAUUUGCGCAAUUUGUUUUAGGUACAAAUGUAAACAACAAAAAAAGGGGGAAAAACAGAAACUUCUAUCCAUCAACACCGCAACCAUCUACGUUGCACUACCAGCAUACCUACCUCCAAAUGCCACCCCCUUUUUUCCAAUUUGGAUAGCUAAAUCUGAAUAGGUAACAACACCAAUCUAUACAAAUUCCUACAAUUUAGAUUGCUAAAGAUGGGUAGGAGUAAACUCACCAACUGAUCCCAAAACCAAAGCUAAUACUGGCCAUACGUUUUGCCGUAAUCUUCAUGCCUCUGAUUUUGGUAGUCACUGUAUGCAUCAUGAGGCCUCGGAGCGGAAUAGUUCUCAUUGGGAUAUGGAUAUCUAUUCCUCGUAUCCAUGGAUAAUCCAGUAUUUCCUACAUAUUGCAUGUUCCUCUGAUCAUAAUCUGGGUAUGCAGGCCGAGUAUAAGCAGUUUGGAGGGCCUGAUGCUGCUGCCGUUGUAUUGUAUCGAGACGAAGAAACUCUUCCCACUGCUUCGAAUGCAUGCUCCUUAUGACUCCUAGCUUCUUCAUGUAGUUCUCUUUAAGCUCUCUAAUGAACUGCAUUCACAGGGUAAAAGAAAAGAGAAUUUACAUACAAAAUGAUGGGAGCGUGACCAAUAGAUUAUUGUACAGUUUUCGGCACACAUACCUCUGCAAAAAUGUGAAUUUGUCCAAAUAAUCAUGCAAAGUUGCUAUUUGCAAGUGUGCCCUCAAAAACCUUACUUAUUUGCAAGCCCCUACCAAGAUAUCUAUGCUUACACAGAAGAAUUUGCAUAGAAACCCUUUGCAGAGAAUGCCCACCAGAAAGUACAGUUUCAAGGGUACACACACAAAUACCAAAUUUGCAGGGGUACUUGUGCAAUGUCACCUAUGUAUGGGUACAUAUGCAAAGAAUCCUAGAAUGUUAUUCAAAGGACCCAGAAGUAAAUCUUUACAUUAGAAAAUAGCCUAUUAUGAAACAGCUAUUGAUGAGGAGCUUUAUUGUAUGCAAACUGGUUGCGUUGAAACCUAAUGAAAUGCAACUAGAAAAUCAAGAGUGCUUCUUUUUACAUUUCUUCCUUUAUUGAGAGAGAGAGAGAGAGAGAGAGAGAGAGAGAGAGAGGAAAAACAAAUAUUAAAUGGUAACUCUGCAGAAACAAAUAAUUAGAAAAAAAGUAUCUAACCGCACAUAAAAGCAAGCAAACUCUGAACCAUCAGUGCUUGUGUUAGUGGCUAAUGUGCUAUUGCAAAAGCUAUCAAGCUGACACAAAGUAAAGUGCCUUACCUUUUAUUUAUCAGAAUCGGAGAACAAUGUGAAGAAAAUCAGAGAAGAAAACACCAUUCUAAAAAUAAACACGUAGAAUCUAUCAGAAGCCCAUUUUUCAUACAAGGGAUCAGUUAAUUAAAAGUAAUGGACAAGUCAUUAACAAUAAAAUAUAAGAAAUGAAGCCUUACAAUUAUUCAACUCAAUAUCAACCAAUAUGUAGGUUUUAUUUCUGAAUCUGGGUUUCUAUGUGCUAGUUUAGCCAGACGAUUGCAUACUGAACAAAUUGGCAACAAAUUGGAAAAAUUUAGCAGGUUAGCACAAGAGUAUAACUUAUUUAACUCUAACCGUCUAGAAAUAUAGACUAUAUAAUUAUGUAAACAAAAAAAAAGGUGUCCAAAUCACCAGGAUCUGGUACAAGCAUACAGCAUGGUGGAUGCCACCCAGAAUGAACUCAUACCUAUGGUUAAAUUUUUAGUAGGUGUUUCCUUUGUUGAAAAACAAGGAGUCCCUGUUGCUGCACUGGGUGAAAUACCAUAACUACAUAAUGAAUAGAUUUGACCUGCUUACUUCAUACAAGAAAAGGUAUACUUAGCCCCGUGCCAACCUGAUGACAAAUAUAGGAAAAUGUCUCCCCAAAAUGCAAAAUAGUUUAUUCUUCUUGAAAUCUAAGGGCAUCGCCGACCAUACAAUUUCUAAAUUUAUUUACUCAUCUCAAUAGUGUAUAAUAAAACAUGCACAUAUUCAUUUCAGGCCUCACGAAAUCAACCAUAUAAACAUAGACCAGAAACUUUCCCAGGGUUAAAAGCAACACUUAUCACUUACCUUUCUUUUCACCGCUUACCUUUCUUUCUAAGUCAGAUGUGUUAAUGUAAUUCUUCAGAAUACCACAUGUACUUUAAAAAAAAAAAGGAGCAUGUAAACUACAUUUUUUGCGAUAAGCACGUAGAUUGAGUAGACUCUCUGUGAAUGUAAUGCAAAAGAUAAAUAUACUACAGAAAACAAGAUAGAGAAAUGAUGACUGGAAAAAUUUUCCUGAUCAUAACAGGAAAUUUUAGGGAAAACAAAAAUCAAAGUUUCGAAAUUUCUAUCAGUAAGCCCUACCUCGCGAUGCUUGUUGUUUUCUUCAUCCUCUUCUUGGUCCCUGAUUCUUGCCAGUUCUAAUGCUUCGCUCUUAAAUUCCAUUUCCAAUUCUUCCAAGCUCCGUUGAUAAGUAGGCAAGUCAAACUUACGCUCAGAACGAGACUCCGCCCUAUGCCUCUCGGUAUCCAAGCUAUUAGACCUAUGUGACCUGGAAUUACGAUCGUACCCAUCAUACUGUCUAUAUGCAUCACCGCCAAAAGAAGAGCGUGGUGGAGAUUUCGGUCGAGCUGAACGGCCUUUUGCUCCAUCAUUAGCAUAAGCUUCGCGAAACGAAUAAUGUGUAAGCGAUAUUACACUUUAUUAUAUAUUCAAAGGAGGAACAAUGCCAGAUGCUAUAAUAUUUGCUAGUUGAUCCAAUCCAUAAAAGUCUGAAAUACUUUGAGCAAACAAAUUUGAAUGGAAUAUAUUCUGUCUGACCCGGAACCAAGCAGAAAUCACUUGAUAUUCCGACACAUAAAGCUUGAACUUACCUCUUGCUACAAAAGAGGGACAGAACGAUAGGUAAUUUGGUAUAUCAUAAGACAAAGAAAAUUGGACUACCCGAACUUGCUAAGUUCCAACUACAGAAAUUUCUCUUAAAAAGCUGCUUCUAUCUCUCGUAAUGUCCCUACCUUGUGGAGAAUCCCUUGCAUAUUUGUGCAUAUUUUCACGUACACGAUCUUCAACACGCCUUUCCUGAUUAAAGCCUCUGUUUUGGACAAGUGACGUAUCUCUCGGACUAGAAUAAGAAGACCUUUGAGAUUCAGAACGCCUAAAGUGAGAACCCCUAGGGCUUCCAUCAGGGGAUCUCGACCGUGUCCUAUUUGAACUGUUGGGACUUCUGCUUUUACGUUUAUCCUCUUGAAUUAUUUUAUGCACCGCAUCUACACCUUUAGCUAGUAUUAACCUAUCCUUCCCACUAACUAUCAAAAAUUUCUCAUCCAUUUUAAUUUUGCAUCCAAUGUCCUUUUCAAUCUGACUUAUCACCUUUGGAGAGAAAAGUGCUCUCACUUGUUUAUCUCUAGCUGGAACUCUCUCAAAAAAGUCUGCAUUUUUACGAUUUGCCCCGAGAGUAGAUGGACAACCCUGUAAAAAAGGCAGGAAAAAAAAAUGAUAACAUAACCAUAUAAGAACACUGAUAAAACAUGCAAACAUGCAGCAUAUAGACGUAAGGCAGGAAUAAGUUUUCUUUUUUCUUCCCCCUGAAUCAUUCAGUGGAAUCCUAAAGUAUUUUGCAGAGACCCCUUAACUGCAGUCCAUUUUGAAAUAGGCCCCUUGAGCACUUUUAUUUUGAUUGACAUCCCCUCAACAUUUAAUUAUUUUGAUUCGACAUAUUUUACUAAAUUGAGUUGGAAAAUUAAUUAAAAAAACAGAUUCUUUAGCUAUCAGUCAUUGACUGUUAUUGAACAGAAGUUAACUUAUGAGCUGUUCAGAAUAGUUAACUGUAAUAGAUGCACCGUUAAAUUUAAAAAUAUUCCAAAUUUGAUUGUCAAAAUAACUUGAACCAAAAGUUGAGUGCAAGGCAAUCAAAAGAAAAGUAGUAGAAGAAUCAAUAAUUACGGAGGUUCCUCCACAUUUUUUUACCAAUAGUAAAUUAAUGGCUCAUACAAAUAUAAAUUAACUUAAUUCACAAUCAAUGUUUACUUAAUCCCAGAUUUUCCUGAUGAAACAACUCAAACCAAAACAAGCAAAAACUUGAGAAGGUGUCAAUCAAAAAAAUAUAUAUAUAGAGAGAGAGAGAGAGCGGCUACAAUGCUAUCAAUAGCACCAAGCGCUUGGUGCUACUAAGUUUUCCACCGUUAGAUUUACACCUUUGACCAUUUCUACCCGUUAGAUCAUACUAUUCAACUAACCACCCAUUCAACCCUAGGGGAUCACUAUCAUCUUAACCGCACAUCGCUUGGAGCUACUAAGUUUUCCGCCGUUAGAUUUACACCUUUGACCAUUUCUACCCGUUAGAUCAUACUAUUCAACUAACCACCCAUUCAACCCUAGGGGACCACUAUCAUCUUAACCGCACAUCGCUUCAUCCAAGGGCCGAAAACGUAAUACCACCAAUGACUUGGUGCUAUUGAUAGUAUUCUAGCCUAGUUCUCUCUCUCUCUCUCUCUCUCUCUCUCUCUCUAUAUAUAUAUAUAUAUAUAUAUAUGUGUGUGUGUGUGUGUGUGUAUGUACAUGUAGGUGCUACUGAUAGUAUUCUAGCCUAGUUCUAUAUAUAUAUAUAUAUAUAUGUGUGUGUGUGUGUGUGUGUGUUAUGUGUAUAUGUCUGUGUAUAUGUAUAUGUAUAUGUAUAUACGUGUGUGUGUAUAAAGUUGAAGGUCUAUACAAAAUGACCAAUAGCUAAGAGGCACUACAAACAUUUUUACCAAAUGUUCAUUUAAUGAAAAAUCUAUCUUUAAGAUUACUGAGGAAGAAAACUUACAUACCUGUGUAAAAUGACCCAAUUCACCACAUAUUUUGCAGAUCAUUUCCUCUUCCUUUCUUUUCUUCCAAUUCCUUUCAGUAGCCUUCGCCUUUGCCUCCCACACCUUAGCCUCUCUACUAGUAAAAUCAGUCGGAACAGCAUUAGGAUCCCGAGGCUCAUCUUCUUCAUCAGAUUGGCCACCAGGAAAAGCUCUCUUGUUAUCAUUUCCUUUUGGCACUGAAUUGUUGGCAGCGUUCGAUCCAACAGGUCCAGUGUAUGCUUUCCCAUAAACUUCAUUAAAGAGUUCAUCAUCUAUAUCGGGACUCGGAUCUCUCGCCAUUCAUAAAACAGAAUACAAGCCGAGGCCUUGAUCAGGUGCAAGAAUACAAACCCUGUUAAGUCCAGAAAGAUGAGCACCACUCAUGUGAUAUGUUUCUCAUUUUCAGCUCAGAAAAGGAGCGGAUAAACCAAUUACUAAAUUUAUGAAUCCCAUAUCUAUAUCUAUAUUUUACUGUUUUUAUAAGAAAAUAUAUUUAGUCGUUUCUUCUUCAACCUGUUUUGCUAGUUCUCGUAAUUCUACUAAUCUACUCUUACACAACGUAUUUAAUUCCAUUACCAUCUUCCACAUGCUCGUCUUCGGUAAUCAAAUUUCCUUACACUAAAUAAGCCUUCUUUGAACCUACCGCAUAACCUAUAAUAUGCUCUUUACAGUUAAAUAAAAAAAAUAAAAGGGUAAAAUGUAUAUAGCACCCAUACUACCAGAUAUCCCUGAAAAUUCCAUCCUAGGCGCAACCAAAGAAAAAAGUGACAACAACCAACAUUUACCUAUGUAAUGAUCUUCUAAACCUUGUUACAAGUACAUUUCCAGAAAAUCGACAAAAACAUUGGUUGUGGAUUGAUUACACAUAAAAGAGGCACAAAAAAAAGAUUUCGGGGUGGUGAAAGUUCUCCAAGUGUUUGGUUCCACAUAAAACACUUUUCAGUGGAAAACAGUUACGUAUUUUACACAAAACAAUUUGUUUCCAUUUUCCAGAUAUUUAUAAAUGGAGAAUGAAGAAUGAAAACUAUAAACUCCUCUUUGUCCCUCAUUAUCUUCAUUUUCUUUUUCCUGCAAACCAAACAUUUUAUGACAAGAAAACUAUUCACUUCAUGCCGAACCAAACUCCAACAAAGGUAAAUUUUCUUUUCCACGGGAAACACAUUUCCCCUGAAACCAAACACAACAAACGACACUUCCCUAUGAAACGAUCUUCUUAAUCUUGUUGUUUCAAGCAACACUGAGACAAAUGAAGCCAUUUUACAGAAGAUUCAACAAAAUUGAUCAAUAAGCACGAAGAAAAGAAAAAACAAGAGAAAAGAACUAACAAGAUCUAGUAAAUUACACCAAAAUAAAAGAGAGUAGAGAUUGGAUAAAGAAGAGCAAGGGAAUUACCUAUACUACAUCCAGUGAGAGAUCUAUGAAUAGCUUCGAGAGAAUCGGAGAGGAGAAGAGCGCGAGACGACGACGACGACGACGACGACGAGGAGGAGGAGGAGGAGGAAGCGAACGAAGAGAGCGAGGAGAGGAAAUGGAGAGGGUUAGGGUUAGGGUUAGGGUUUGUUGCGGUUGGGGGUUGGUUGAGUUGGGCCAGCCCAUUUACGAUUGCACGUUGUUUGGAUGAGGCCGAGUUCGAUUUUUACGGAGGCGGUAAAAGUAAUCCGAACCCAUUGGGUUAUCCCGAUUCGACCCGAUUUGGAUCGGGUUAUGGUUAUACUCAUUUUGGUAGGCCGAAAAGAACGGGUUUGGCCUUUUAAGGUUCUUAAGGUGUCCUUUAUCUAACCCGAUUUGGAUCGGGUUAUGUUUGUUUUCGUACAUAAAAUUAUAUUCCGCGAAUUACAAUAAAUCAGUUACAAUAUAUUUUAUGCAGUCCCACUGAAAAAUAAAGAAGCGUAUUAUUAUAUGCUUUCGUCCCAACACCUUUCUCGGCCUACUAGCUUUAGGCGAGCGUCAGUACCAAACGGGCUCUUGGUUUACAAUUAUUAUUUGCGGUAAAACUUUGUUCGAACGUGCGACCUUGCUAGCCGACAAAUUUACCAAUUAUAGUAUUAUCAUAUAACUCCUUACAAUGUAAAUAUAAACUUGGUUUAACAUGACUGUACAGAGCACUCGGUAAAUAUUCUGUAUGUUGGAUUAUGACACCGUUGCGAUAUCGUAUCUGUGCCUAUUCCAUAAAUAUUCUUACGAAUUUAUUUAUCUACAUACAUUUUUACUCUUUGAAAAUGUAGUUUCACAUAAAAUUUACAUGGAAUAACAUAAAAAUGAGUACCUUGCAAUAACAUGUGAGAGAAAAUUUUCUCUUCCAUAGUUUUUGGCACAUGCACCAUGCAUUCUCUCCUCUUAGAUUUCACUCAGCACAUCUCUUAACAUGCCAAAGGAGUGGAAAUCCAACAUUCUAAUUGUAUGCAACUGUUGUGAAUACUUUUCUUUUAUUAUUAUUACUAUUAUUAGGUUAAAUUACAAAAAAAAAAAAAUCCUUCCGUAAAUAUAUAUUUUUUCUUCCUGACUUUUAAAAAUCAACAUUUGGUCCCUUUAAAAUUUAUAAAAUAUUUUUAGGGCUAUACAGCAUUAAUGAGAGGGCAAAAUGAUCAAAUUAUCUUUACUUUUUCUGUAAAAAAAUAAUUUUUAAAUAUAUUUCUGUCGUUUCAAAUGGUAUUUUAGAUAUAAAUUAUAAGAAAAUAAACGAAAUAGUAAGAGAAUAAAAUAUAAGUUUUUGAAACUUAGGGACGAAAAGUGAAAAAAUGAGUAUUUAUAAAAAAAAAUUUAUGUGAUUUAACGUUAUUAUUAUUAUUGAACUUCUCGGUACGCUCUUGAAUUCCAGAAAUCUCUCCAUAUACAAAUACCAAUUUUUUUUUACCCACAAACUCAAAGGCUCUGUAGCCCCAUUUUCUCAAAUGCCCAAGGGAGAAAUCAAAUUCCAACAUCUUAGCAAGCAAUAUACUUUUGGUUUGCGAAAUGCUCCACUCAAAUAGAAAAAUCAUUACUUAGGCUCUGUUUGUCGUGUUCUUCUUGACGAGAUUAGUUAUAAUCAUCUGUUCUCCAUUUCAUCUCUAUUAUCAAGCGAAUUAUUACCUCCUCAAGAUUAACAAAUUAUUUUGUAAAAGCUGUGAUCAUAUAUGGAAAGUGACUGGGAGUCAAGAGGGCAAAUCAAUGCGCAGUCCUCGGCUGAUGUGGUGCACCAGGUCCAAACAAAGAAUUUCUUACCAAGUGGAGUAGCUGUUCCAAAAUUGUGGGCCAACAGUUUUCUCCUUUCCCAGCCCACAAUGAGCCCUUGAUAACAUAUAUAAAUAUAUAAUAGGGAAAACUUAAAAAAAACCCCUUGUAGUUUCACUUUUUCUCACUUUAGUCCCCUGGGAUUUAAAGUGUAUUAAGUUAGUACCAUGUGGUUUCGCACUUUCUCACUUUAGUACUCUGUGGUUUAAUAUUUCAUUCGGAGAAAAAUAAAACCACAGGGUACUAACUUGAUACAAAAAUAAAACCACAUGGUACUAACUUGAUACAAAAAUAAAACCACGGAGUACUAACUUGAUACACUUUAAACCGCAGGGUACUCAAGUGAGAAAGUGCAAAACCACAGGUACUAACUUGAUACACUUUAAACCACAGGGUACUAAAAUAAAAAAAAUGUGAAACCAUAAGGGGAGUUUUUGAAGUUUUCCCUGUAUAAUAAGGUGGGGCCUUUGUUAUCCAUCGUAAGCCCAUUUUAUUUUCCAAGCCAACUUUAUUUUGUAUAAACUAGAAGAGAAGCAAAGUGAAGAUAUAUAAUAUAGUAGUUCUAGGAUCAUUUAACCAAUGCAUAAUACUCCACAUUAACACAAAUUCUGAUGCAAAAUUAACUAAUUAACAAGAUACAUUCUCUUGACCGAAAAAACAAAAGACAAAAAUAAAAAUCGUUCAUUCUCCUGAUAACAUCUUAAGAGCAAUUUGCAUCCCUUGCACUUGCACCUUCAAACAUGCAAUGUAAUCCGCAGCCUCUCGAAAGAGCCCGCGGAGACCCACCGACGACUCACCGCCACUCGGCACGAGCCUCCGGAGUGCCCCGACAUGUCGGUCGAGGGCCCGAACUGGCCUUCUCGAGCUUACCAGAAGCUUUCUCCUCUUGACUUUGAGAAGCCUCCUCCUCCUCUCUAGAGCGAGUCGCACCGAGGCUCGAGCCCAACGUGACCUCAAGCUAAGAUGGUUUGACUUGUCGAGCUGUUCGGAGAAGCCGAUCGAGUCGAGAGCCAAGAGGAGGGAUUGUGUAGAGGAAGGCAUGGUUUGAUGUUGCUUUUGUGGAACCUUGCUUUCCUUUUUAGAGAGGACUUUUAGUCCUA